Molecule: ribosomal RNA, 253 nt
Filed under: uncultured bacterium
Lineage: Bacteria
Description: partial 16S ribosomal RNA
Rfam family: Bacterial small subunit ribosomal RNA
Source: RNAcentral
UACGGAGGGAGCUAGCGUUGUUCGGAAUUACUGGGCGUAAAGCGCGCGUAGGCGGCUUUGUAAGUUAGAGGUGAAAGCCUGGAGCUCAACUUCAGAAUUGCCUUUAAGACUGCAUCGCUUGAAUCCGGGAGAGGUGAGUGGAAUUCCGAGUGUAGAGGUGAAAUUCGUAGAUAUUCGGAAGAACACCAGUGGCGAAGGCGGCUCACUAGACCGGCAUUGACGCUGAGGUGCGAAAGCGUGGGGAGCAAACAGG